UGCAAGUCGAACGAACGGACCGGAGCUUGCUCUGGCGAGUUAGUGGCGAACGGGUGAGUAACGCGUUGGUGACCUGCCCCGAAGAAAGGGAUAGCAACUGGAAACGGUUAUUAAUACCAUAUGUGGUUACGGUAGUUAGAGAACUGUAACUAAAGGAGAAAUCCGCUUCGGGAGGGGCCUGCGUCCCAUCAGCUAGUUGGUAAGGUAACGGCUUACCAAGGCGAUGACGGGUAGGGGACCUGAGAGGGUGACCCCCCACACUGGAACUGAAACACGGUCCAGACACCUACGGGUGGCAGCAGUAGGGAAUAUUGCUUAAUGGGCGAAAGCCUGAAGCAGCAACGCCGCGUGCACGAUGAAGGCCUUCGGGUUGUAAAGUGCUUUUUGAGGGGAUGAGGAAGGACAGUACCCUCAGAAUAAGCCUCGGCUAACUACGUGCCAGCAGCCGCGGUAAAACGUAGGAGGCGAGCGUUAUCCGGAUUUACUGGGCGUAAAGCGCGUGUAGGCGGUUGGGUAAGUUGGAUGUGAAAGCUCCUGGCUUAACUGGGAGAGGUCGUUCAAUACUGCCUGACUAGAGAAUGGGAGAGGGAGGUGGAAUUCCGGGUGUAGUGGUGAAAUGCGUAGAUAUCAGGAGGAACACCGGUGGCGAAGGCGGCUUCCUGGACCAAUACUGACGCUGAGGCGCGAAGGCGUGGGGAGCGAACAGGAUUAGAUACCCUGGUAGUCCACGCAGUAAACGUUGAUCACUAGGUGUAGCGGGUAUUGACCCCUGCUGUGCCGGAGUUAACGCAUUAAGUGAUCCGCCUGGGGAGUACGAUCGCAAGAUUAAAACUCAAAGGAAUUGACGGGGGCCCGCACAAGCGGUGGAGUAUGUGGUUUAAUUCGAUGCAACGCGAAGAACCUUACCAGGGCUUGACAUGUCCGGAAUCCCGGUGAAAGCUGGGAGUGCCUUCGGGAGCCGGAACACGGGUGGUGCAUGGCUGUCGUCAGCUCGUGUCGUGAGAUGUUGGGUUAAGUCCCGCAACGAGCGCAACCCUCGUCUUUAGUUGCCAGCAUUAAGUUGGGCACUCUAGAGAGACUGCCGGUGACAAACCGGAGGAAGGUGGGGAUGACGUCAAGUCAGCAUGCCCCUUACGCUCUGGGCGACACACGUACUACAAUGGUCGGGACAGAGGGCAGCGAACCUGCGAAGGCAAGCUAAUCCCAGCAAACUCGGCCUCAGUUCAGAUCGCAGGCUGCAACUCGCCUGCGUGAAGGAGGAAUCGCUAGUAAUCGCCGGUCAGAAUACGGCGGUGAUCCGUUCCCGGGCCUUGUACACACCGCCCGUCACACCAUGGAAGCUGGCCACGCCCGAAGUCGUUACCCUAAC
Molecule: ribosomal RNA, 1369 nt
Filed under: uncultured organism
Description: partial 16S ribosomal RNA
Rfam family: Bacterial small subunit ribosomal RNA
Source: RNAcentral